This is a long non-coding RNA of Rosa rugosa (rugosa rose), 2724 nucleotides long. RefSeq lists it as uncharacterized. The transcript is spliced from 7 exons. Lineage: Eukaryota; Viridiplantae; Streptophyta; Magnoliopsida; Rosales; Rosaceae. The record is from RefSeq and is a predicted model, not a curated record.
ACCCUGCAUGGCUUGGUUGCGUGGCUUGCAGAGUGAAUGUAAAGGAAACAUAGUGGAUAUGGAGAAAGAAAGCCAGAGAGAGGUCUUCUCGCUGUUUGGUAGAUAGAGAGAAGAGGGAGAUUCUGGGUUGCGCAUCUUCCAGCUCUGGUGACGACUAAUUGAAUUUCUUGGUGGAGUCGUAUUUGCGCAUAAUUGGAGAGCCAAAGAGCCAAAGCUUCAGUCUGUAUUUCGUCAGGUCAUUUGCUGGGUUUUGGGGGAAUAUGGAACUGCUAAUGGAAAGCAUUCUGCUUCAUAUAUCACUGGAGAGAAGGGAAAUUGUAUAGUUAAUGGACAAUUGGAAGGAAUAUGUUCAAGCCAUGAGAAUCUCGCCUGUCUUUCCUGAGAACCGUUUAAAAAUUGGUCAAGAGCUUACCAGGGGUCUUGGUGCUGGAAGAAACCCAUGCCAGACAUUGGUGUGAAUGCUGUCAAAGAAAGCCUAGAAUCAUAGAAGAAGCACUAUAUGGGUCAGACAUGGUAUUCAUUAUGGCUAGAAUGGGUGGAGGAAUUCGCUGCUCCGGUAGUUGCAGGUGUUGCAAAAUCAAUGGGAAACUUCAAGUAUCCUUUUCUGACUAUGGUUGUAAUGAGAUAAUUCGGAAUAUGAGAGUAUUACGUUUGGAUUUGAUUUUACAGCAUUUUAGAAUUUGAUCUCAGCUAUGUAAAGUCAUUGACAUUUUAAGAAUAUAUUGGCUGAUGAGAGGUUCAAAGAGAUUAUGAAUGAAUUACCAUCUCACAUUAGGUUAUAAACAUGAAUUCAGGAAAAAAAAACAUAACCCCGCAGCAUCGAGUGGGCGAGUUGCCUAGUUACCUAUUUUAAACCUCUAACUCCUUAUGAAUAGUAAUUUGCCCUGCUGCUUUUCCCAUAGUUUGCUCAUUACCCUUGCCACCUGUUGAUCUGUUGAGCCACCACCUAAUUACUUUGAGUGAUGGCGGGUCGCCCUUUCUCUGCUGAGCAGAAGAGACAGGAGCUGAAAGAGAGACGUUGUUUGCCUGGCAGAAAGAGAGUUGAAGAGGUGGAUUGAUAGAGGGUGACAUACGCAGAGGUUGUAUUCGUUUUCCCAGGCGUUGUUGAGAUUGUUAUUCAUUUUGAAGCUUAUGGAUUUUCAGGGAGGAUGAGCAUAGUAUCAAAAGAAAUUGACUGAGGAAUGUGCAACCAAUAAUUUUUCUUAAUCUGUUUCAGUUUUUGCUAAAUUCUGUCAUUUCCAGUGUUUUCUGAAAUCUAACUCACUCAAUUUAAUGCCUUUUAUGUUAUUCUUUAGGUGAGACAGAGAUGAUUGUUCCUCUUCUUUGCUACAGAAAUUGAGCCGCUGGAGGUUUCAUUUGCAGUAGUUGUAAUUAUUUCUUAUAUCAAUGCUGUGAUUUGGUGUUGAAGCAUCUUUCAGUCAUGCAAAAACAAGGGCUGAGGGACUUACAGUGGAGGUGAUACUUUAAACCCUGAAAAUAGGGUGUUACUUGAUCAUUGGACGUUGGAAAAGAUGAGGGAUGCUGAACGCCUCAAUGAGGUACUUUGUAUCAGUGUUAUCAACUGAAAUUAUGUGUUUGAUAGUAGUAGGUUUUUGCUGCUUAAGGUGUGAUAUAUAUUAACCUUAGUUGAUGGUUCUUGAUACCUCCGAAUUUUUGUAUUGGAUGACUAUGCCAAUCUAUGCUUUAUUGCAUACAUAAUCGUGCCAUUACAAAUUUGAGCAUCGCAAAUGAAUAACAGUGCUUUACUUUGUAGGCAUGGGGUUUGACCCUUUUUUCACCAGUAUUUAUAAUUAUUUGACAUAAAGCCUCUAGAAACCAAACCUAAGUGUAUCAAAGUGGUUAUUGAACCUUUCAAAAAAAAAAAAAGUGGUUAUUGAAAAAGGCCCUUACUGUCAUUGUUUCUCAUAACAUGGGACAUCUUGGAGUUCUAAUUUCUCAAUUAAAACACAUAUGUUUUUUUCUUUAAGUUUAUAUUGUUUUUAAAUCUGCCCUAUUUUGAAUAAAUUUCGGGAUGAAAUGAAGCAGCUAGCUAAGAUUGAGAUAUAUAAAAUGUAGCAAAUUUCCUGCUCUUUGUAACCAGUGGUAAGGCAUUAUCAAUUUUGCUAACUAGAACGAUUUUGAAAAUAGUUAGAUUCUUUCUUACAACAGUUGAUGAGAUAAUAGAGAGAUAGCAUUGGUUGAGCGAAGACUAUAUUUUAGUUUUGAGCAACUAGGAAUGAGUUCAUUUGGCUGGCAACAAUCAACAUAUUGUGUUGGACAUGCAAAGUUGUGUCCACAUUGUUCAUAAUGAAUUACUGUUUGUCAGCUCUGUUUUUGUUCUUUGUAUAUCUCCAGAUUCUGUACUAAUUAUGCUUGCUCGUGCAGGGUGACAUUGUCUUUGCAUCUAUUAUGGCAACUCUUGGACUGCAAAUAUUGCUCGAGUCUGCUUGAGAACUGAUCUCAAAGGUAAGCGAUCCAUUUGUUUUCCCUACUCCAACCUGAAAAUUGGAGCCGAACGAUCUCUAGAUUUCGGACUCUGAUUCGGUUGGUUUUGUGGAAUGUAUUGCUGAUAUGCUCCCUUUUAACUGGCUUCUUAGAGGGUUCCAAUUUGGCAUAUUGAAAAGAUUUCUGUGGAGGCAUAUCCAUAAAUUUUCACUGUUAUUGUAUCACCUGAAUUAGCAAAUCAUAAGAGUUAAAAACUGGAUUGCUAAGUUCUGUUAUUCUAUAUAUUCAGUAGUUCGGUCA